RNAcentral lists this ribosomal RNA (301 nucleotides) under uncultured bacterium. RNAcentral's name for it is "partial 16S ribosomal RNA". It matches the Rfam family "Bacterial small subunit ribosomal RNA", at positions 509 to 809 of the family's 1533-position model. The record is from RNAcentral.
CAGUAGCCACGGUAAUACGUAGGGUGCAAGCGUUAAUCGGAAUUACUGGGUUUAAAGGGUCCGUAGGCGGACUUAUAAGUCAGUGGUGAAAGCCUGUCGCUUAACGAUAGAACUGCCAUUGAUACUGUAAGUCUUGAGUAUAUUUGAGGUAGCUGGAAUAAGUAGUGUAGCGGUGAAAUGCAUAGAUAUUACUUAGAACACCAAUUGCGAAGGCAGGUUACCAAGAUAUAACUGACGCUGAGGGACGAAAGCGUGGGUAGCGAACAGGAUUAGAUACCCCCGUAGUCCCUGUCUCUUAUAA